RNAcentral lists this ribosomal RNA (391 nucleotides) under uncultured bacterium. RNAcentral describes it as "bacterial SSU rRNA". It matches the Rfam family "Bacterial small subunit ribosomal RNA", at positions 30 to 418 of the family's 1533-position model. The record is from RNAcentral.
AUUGAACGCUGGCGGCAUGCCUUACACAUGCAAGUCGAACGGCAGCACGGGAGCAAUCCUGGUGGCGAGUGGCGAACGGGUGAGUAAUAUAUCGGAACGUGCCCAGUCGUGGGGGAUAACGUAGCGAAAGCUACGCUAAUACCGCAUACGAUCUAUGGAUGAAAGCGGGGGAUCGCAAGACCUCGCGCGAUUGGAGCGGCCGAUAUCAGAUUAGGUAGUUGGUGAGGUAAAGGCUCACCAAGCCGACGAUCUGUAGCUGGUCUGAGAGGACGACCAGCCACACUGGGACUGAGACACGGCCCAGACUCCUACGGGAGGCAGCAGUGGGGGAAUUUUUGGGACAAUGGGCGCAAGCCUGAUCCAGCAAUGCCGCGUGCAGGAUGAAGGCCUC